UAGGGAAUCUUCCGCAAUGGACGAAAGUCUGACGGAGCAACGCCGCGUGAGUGAAGAAGGAUUUCGGUUCGUAAAACUCUGUUGUUAGGGAAGAAAAAAUGUAUAGUAACUAUAUACAAAAGAGACGGUACCUAACCAGAAAGCCACGGCUAACUACGUGCCAGCAGCCGCGGUAAUUCGUAGGUGGCAAGCGUUGUCCGGAAGUAUUGGGCGUAAAGCGCGCGCAGGUGGUUUAGAAAGUCUGAUGUGAAAACCCACGGCUCAACCGUGGAGGGUCAUUGGAAACUAAUACACAUGAGUGCAGGCGAGAAAAGUGGAAAUCCUAGUUUAGCGGUAACAUGCGUAGAGAUUAGGAGGAACACCUGUGGCGAAAGCGGCUUUUUGGCCUGAAACUGACACUGAGGCGCGAAAGCGUGGGGAGCAAACAGG
This 429-nucleotide ribosomal RNA is filed under the name Verrucomicrobiota bacterium. RNAcentral's name for it is "Verrucomicrobia bacterium partial 16S ribosomal RNA". It matches the Rfam family "Bacterial small subunit ribosomal RNA", at positions 355 to 776 of the family's 1533-position model. The record is from RNAcentral. Lineage: Bacteria; Pseudomonadati; Verrucomicrobiota.